RNAcentral lists this ribosomal RNA (254 nucleotides) under uncultured bacterium. RNAcentral's name for it is "partial 16S ribosomal RNA". It matches the Rfam family "Bacterial small subunit ribosomal RNA", at positions 524 to 776 of the family's 1533-position model. The record is from RNAcentral.
UACGGGGGGAGCAAGCGUUGUUCGGAAUUACUGGGCGUAAAGGGCGCGUAGGCGGCCAGCACAAGUCAGUUGUGAAAUCUCCGAGCUUAACUCGGAAAGGUCAACUGAUACUGUGCGGCUAGAGUGCGGAAGGGGCAACUGGAAUUCUUGGUGUAGCGGUGAAAUGCGUAGAUAUCAAGAGGAACACCAGUGGCGAAGGCGAGUCUCUGGACAUUUCCUGACGCUGAGGCACGAAAGCCAGGGGAGCAAACGGG